RNAcentral lists this small nuclear RNA (109 nucleotides) under Podarcis lilfordi (Lilford's wall lizard). The record is from RNAcentral. Lineage: Eukaryota; Metazoa; Chordata; Lepidosauria; Squamata; Lacertidae.
UUGUGUGGAGUUCAGUGACAAAAAGGAUGAAAAUGGAAUGGAAUAGAGAAGAUCAGCAUGGCCCCUGCCGAAGCAUGAUAUUGAACUUUGUGAAGUAUCAUCCUUCAGC